UGGGGAAUAUUUCGCAAUGGACGAAAGUCUGACGGAGCAACGCCGCGUGAGUGAUGAAGGAUUUCGGUUCGUAAAGCUCUGUUGCAGGGGAAAAAGAAAGUGAUUGUACUCUGCGAGAAAGGGACGGCCAACUUCGUGCCAGCAGCCGCGGUAAUACGAAGGUCCCUAGCGUUGUUCGGAAUCAUUGGGCGUAAAGAGCUCGUAGGUGGUUUUGUAAGUCAGGUGUGAAAGCCCCGAGCUUAACUCGGGAAGUGCACUUGAAACUGCUUAACUUGAGUACGGAAGAGGUGAGUGGAAUUCCUGGUGUAGUGGUGAAAUACGUAGAUAUCAGGAGGAACAUCGGUGGCGAAGGCGGCUCACUGGUCCAGUACUGACACUGAGGAGCGAAAGCAUGGGGAUCAAACAGG
This 407-nucleotide ribosomal RNA is filed under the name uncultured bacterium. Its description in RNAcentral is "bacterial SSU rRNA". It matches the Rfam family "Bacterial small subunit ribosomal RNA", at positions 355 to 776 of the family's 1533-position model. The record is from RNAcentral.